CAGCCAUGCCGCGUGCAGGAUGACGGUCCUAUGGAUUGUAAACUGCUUUUGUACGGGAAGAAAUGUGCCUACGAGUAGGUAUUUGACGGUACCGUAAGAAUAAGGAUCGGCUAACUCCGUGCCAGCAGCCGCGGUAAUACGGAGGAUCCGAGCGUUAUCCGGAAUUAUUGGGUUUAAAGGGUUCGUAGGCGGUCAGAUAAGUCAGUGGUGAAAUCUCAUAGCUUAACUAUGAAACUGCCGUUGAUACUGUUUGACUUGAAUAGUAUGGAAGUAACUAGAAUAUGUAGUGUAGCGGUGAAAUGCUUAGAUAUUACAUGGAAUACCAAUUGCGAAGGCAGGUUACUACGUACUUAUUGACGCUGAUGAACGAAAGCGUGGGUAGCGAACAGGAUUAGAUACCCUGGUAGUCCACGCCGUAAACGAUGGAUACUAGCUGUUCGGUUUUCGGACUGAGUGGCUAAGCGAAAGUGAUAAGUAUCCCACCUGGGGAGUACGUUCGCAAGAAUGAAACUCAAAGGAAUUGACGGGGGCCCGCACAAGCGGUGGAGCAUGUGGUUUAAUUCGAUGAUACGCGAGGAACCUUACCAGGGCUUAAAUGUAGAUUGACAGGUUUGGAAACAGACUUUUCUUCGGACAAUUUACAAGGUGCUGCAUGGUUGUCGUCAGCUCGUGCCGUGAGGUGUCAGGUUAAGUCCUAUAACGAGCGCAACCCCUAUUGUUAGUUACCAUCGCGUUAAGGCGGGGACUCUAGCAAGACUGCCGGUGCAAACCGAGAGGAAGGUGGGGAUGACGUCAAAUCAUCACGGCCCUUACGUCCUGGGCUACACACGUGCUACAAUGGCAAGUACAGAAAGCAGCUACCUGGCAACAGGAUGCGAAU
This 880-nucleotide ribosomal RNA is filed under the name Myroides sp. Its description in RNAcentral is "bacterial SSU rRNA". It matches the Rfam family "Bacterial small subunit ribosomal RNA", at positions 389 to 1272 of the family's 1533-position model. The record is from RNAcentral. Lineage: Bacteria; Pseudomonadati; Bacteroidota; Flavobacteriia; Flavobacteriales; Flavobacteriaceae.